GUGAAUCAUCAAAUUUUUGAACGCAAAUUGCACUCUCUGCGGAUAGUAUGCCUGUUUGAGGUUCAGCCUAAAAAAAAAUCUACAUAUUCGCUGUUUCUCGGUGACAUUCGUCUUAAAUUGUGUCAUCUUAAACCUUUGGGUUUUAAGCGUCUUAAAAUUUUCUUUACGAUUCCACGAACGUUUCUAAGAUUUACUUCUUUUACUUUUAAUGUAUCGAUCUUUAUUAGACGUUUCCGUGACAUCGGAUCUCG
Molecule: unclassified non-coding RNA, 251 nt
Filed under: Glomus sp.
Lineage: Eukaryota; Fungi; Glomeromycota; Glomeromycetes; Glomerales; Glomeraceae
Description: partial contains 5.8S ribosomal RNA and internal transcribed spacer 2
Source: RNAcentral